Scomber japonicus (chub mackerel) is the source of this 387-nucleotide non-coding RNA. The record is from the annotation of a RefSeq genome assembly. Lineage: Eukaryota; Metazoa; Chordata; Actinopteri; Scombriformes; Scombridae.
AUGACUCUCAUCACCAUCCUCAUCUGGACGCUGGCCUGCUGCUGUUUUACAGGAUGCAGCGGUCAGGUGACUGUGACUCAGCCUCCAGUACUCACAACUACUCCAGGAUCCACUGUCACUCUGACCUGUCAGACCAACCCUGCUGUUAAAACAUGGUCAGAUGGAACCAGUAGAAGACACUGGUAUCAACAGAAAUCUGGACAAGUUCCAAAAUUGGUCAUGAAAGUCGGUAAAAAUCCUACAGAUGAGUUUGCCUCUCGAUUCUCUGGAAGAGGAGAUGGAGUUAAUGCUGCUUUGACCAUCAGUGGAGUUCAGACUGAAGACGCAGCAGUUUAUUAUUGUCAGCGUUAUGAUGAAAUAAACAGUGCAUGGGUGUUCACACAGUGA